GGAGAAAGACACAGACCUGUCUUCAGGUCAUUGCCUUAACCUUGGCAAAAUAAACUUCUAAAUGGAUUGAGACCUGUCUCAGAUACUUUUUGGUUUACAAGGGCGAGCUCACAAGGCUUUAGCGGACCUCUGGGAGCGUGCACAAAGAAGGGACGCUUGAAUUGCUUGUUUUCUCAAGAAGUGUCAGGUCUGAGAGCCUGAAGCUACCCAGCCAAGUACUCCUCACGUCUCCUCCCUGCCUUACAGGGAGGGGAUUCAGCGUUGGUUUUGACUGUCACCAGGACUGGACAUCCUGAUGACCGAAAAAGCAGAUGGCGUUUGUGACUAUAUAUACAUAAUACAACAGAGAAAGCCAAAAAUCCAAGGAACUGCAAGAAUUUUUAUCCGGGUGAAGAUUAUCCUGACAGAGAAAAGUUAGGUGAGGAAGACAAAAACAAAGCUGUAUUUGGAUAAUGUCACGAGUCCUGUUUGUUCAACACACUGGACACAGCAAGACGACUGACUGAAUUAGCCUCCCAUGGCCUCUGCCCAGGCUGGAUAAGAACCUCAAACCUAGGAGGGAGUGGAGGAGACGGAGCUUGGAGAGCCUACCUGCACCCAGGUGAAAUAAACAGCCAUGUUGCUCACGCAAAGCCUGUUUGGUGGUCUCUUCACACGGACGCGCAUGAAAUUUGGUGCCGUGACUUGGAUCGGGGGACCUCCCUUCGGAGAUCAAUCCCCUGUCCUCCUGUUCUUUGCUCCAUGAGAAAGAUCCACCUACGACCUCAGGUCCUCAGACUGACCAGCCCAAGAAACAUCUCACCAAUUUCAAAUCCGGACCCCACUGGAAAUCGGACUGUUCAACUCACCUGGCAGCCACUCCCGGAGCCCCUGGAACUCUGGCCCAAGACUCUCUGACUGACUCCUUCUCGGCUUAGCGGCUGAAGACUGACGCUGCCCGGUCGCCUCGGAAGCCCCGUAGACCAUCAGGGACGCCGAGCUUUGGGUAACUCUCACAGUGGAAGGUAAGCCCGUCCCCUUCUUAAUCAAUACAGAGGCUACCCACUCCACAUUACCUUCUUUUCAAGGGUCUGUUUCCCUUGCCUCCAUAACUGUUCUAGGUAUUGACGGCCAGGCUUCUAAACCUCUUAAAACUCCCCAAAUCUAGUGCCAACUUAGACAAUACUCUUUUAAGCACUCCUUUUUAGUUAUCCCCACCUGCCCAGUUCCCUUAUUAGGCUGAGACACUUUAACUAAAUUAUCUGCUUCCCUGACUGUUCCUGGACUACAGCUGUAUCUCAUUGCCGCCUUUCUUCCCAAUCCAAAGCUUCCUUUGCGUCCUCCUCUUGUAUCCCCCCACCUUAACCCACAAGUAUAAGAUACCUCUACUCCCUCCUUGGUGACCGAUCAUGCACCCCUUACCGUGUCAUUAAAACCUAAUCACCCUUACCCCACUAAAUGCCAAUAUCCCAUCCCGCAGCACGCUUUAAAAAGAUUAAAGCCUGUUAUCACUGGCCUGCUACAGCAUGGCCUUUUAAAGCCUAUAAACUCUCCUUAUAAUUCCCCCAUUUUACCCAUCCUAAAACUGCACAAGUCUUACAGAUUAGUUCAGGAUCUGCAUCUUAUCAACCAAACUGUUUUGCCUAUCCACCCUGUGGUGCCCAAGCUGUACACUCUUUUGUCCUCAAUACCUUCCUCCACAACUCACUAUUCCGUGCUUGAUCUUAAAGAUGCUUUUUUCACUAUUCCCCUGCACCCCUCGUCCCAGCCUCUCUUCGCUUUCACUUAGACUGACCCUGACACCCAUUAGGCUCUGCAAAUUACCUAGGCUGUACUGCCGCAAGGCUUCAUAGACAGCCCCCAUUACUUCAGUCAAGCCCAAAUUUCAUCCUCAUCUGUUACCUAUCUCGCCAUAAUUCUCAUAAAAACACACGUGCUCUCCCUGCUGAUCAUGUCCGAUUAAUCUCCCAAACCUCAAUCCCUUACAAAACAACAACUCCUUUCCUUCCUAGGCAUAGUUAGUGCGGUCAGAAUUCUUACACAAGAGCCAGGACUGCACCCUGUAGUGUUUCUGUGCAAACAACUUGACCUUACUGUUUUAUCCUAGCCCUCAUGUCUGCGUGCAGCGGCUGCCGCUGCUUUAAUAGUUUUAGAGGCCCUCAAAAUCACAAACUAUGCUCAACUCACUCUCUACAUUUCUCAUAACUUCCAAAAUCUAUUUUCUUCCUCAUACCUGACGCAUAUACUUUCUGCUACCCAGCUCCUUCAGCUGUUCUCACUCUUUGUUAAGUCCUACAAUUAUCAUUGUUCCUGCCCUGGACUUCAAUCCGGCCUCUCACAUUAUUCUGGAUACCACACCUGACCCCCAUGACUGUAUCUCUCUGAUCCACCUGACAUUCACCCCAUUUCCCCAAAUUUCCUUAUUUCCUGUUCCUCAUCCUGAUCACGCUUGAUUUAUUGAUGGCGGUUCCACCAGGCCUAAUCGCCACACACCAGCAAAGGCAGGCUAUGCUAUAGCACAAGCCACUAGCCCGCCUCUUAGAACCUCUCAUUUCCUUUCCAUCGUGGAAAUCUAUCCUCAAGGAAAUAACUUCUCAGUGUUCCAUCUGCUAUUCUACUACUCCUCAGGGAUUAUUCAGGCCCCCUCCCUACCCUACACAUCAAGCUCGAGGAUUUGCUCCCACCCAGGACUGACAAAUUAGCUUUACUCAACAUGCCCCGAGUCAGAUAACUAAAAUCCCUCUUAGUCUAGGUAGACACUUUCACUGGAUAGGUAGAGGCCUUUCCUACAGGGUCUGAGAAGGCCACCACAGUCAUGUCUUCCCUUCUGUCAGACAUAAUUCCUCAGUUUAGCCUUCCCACCUCUAUACUGUCUGACAACAGGUAAGCCUUUAUUAGUCAAAUCAGCCAAGCAGUUUUUCAGGCUCUUAGUGUUCACUGAAACCUUUAUAUCCCUUAUGGUCCUCCGUCUUCAAGAAAAGUAGAAUGGACUAAAGGUCUUUAAAAACACACCUCACCAAGCUCAGCCACCAACUUAAAAAGGACUGGACAAUACUUUUACCACUUUCCCUUCUCAGAAGUCAGACCUGUCCUCAGAAUGCUACAAGGUACAGCCCAUUUAAGCUCCUAUAUAGACGCUCCUUUUUAUUAGGCCCCAGUCUCAUUCCAGACACCAGACCAACUUAGACUGUGCCCCAAAAAAACUUGUCAUCCCUACUAUCUUCUGUCUAGUCAUACUCCUAUUCACCGUUCUCACCUACUCAUACAUGCCCUGCUCUUGUUUACACUGCCAGUUUACAUUGUUUCUCCAAGCCAUCACAGCUGAUAUCUCCUGGUGCUAUCCCCAAACUGCCACUCUUAACUCUUGAAGUAAAUAAAUAAUCUUUGCUGGUAGGACUAUGCUGAAUCUCCUUAGGCACUCUCUAAUCAGAUAUCCUGAGUCGUCCCAAUUCUUAGACAUUUUAUACCUGUUUUUCUCCUUCUGUUAUUCCAUUAAGUUUUUCAAUUCAUACAAAACCAUAUCAAGGCCAUCACCAAUCAUUGUAUACGACAAAUAUUUCUUCUAACAUCCCCACAAUAUCACCCCUUACCACAAGACCUCCCUUCAGCUUAAUCUCUCCCACUCUAGGUUCCCACGCCGCCCCGUAAUCCCGCUUGAAGCAGCCCUGAGAAACAUCGCCCAUUCUCUCUACAUACCACCCCCCAAAAAUUUUCACUGCCCCAACACUUCAACACUAUUUUAUUUUUCUUAUUAAUAUAAGAAGUCAGGAAUGUCAGGCCUCUGAGCCCAAGCCAAGCCAUCGCAUCCC
This 3788-nucleotide long non-coding RNA is filed under the name Homo sapiens (human). Its description in RNAcentral is "non-protein coding lnc-AKAP7-1:5". Lineage: Eukaryota; Metazoa; Chordata; Mammalia; Primates; Hominidae. The record is from RNAcentral.